UGGGGAAUCUUGCGCAAUGGGCGAAAGCCUGACGCAGCCAUGCCGCGUGAAUGAUGAAGGUCUUAGGAUUGUAAAAUUCUUUCACCGGGGACGAUAAUGACGGUACCCGGAGAAGAAGCCCCGGCUAACUUCGUGCCAGCAGCCGCGGUAAUACGAAGGGGGCUAGCGUUGCUCGGAAUUACUGGGCGUAAAGGGCGCGUAGGCGGAUCGUUAAGUCAGAGGUGAAAUCCCAGGGCUCAACCCUGGAACUGCCUUUGAUACUGGCGAUCUUGAGUAUGAGAGAGGUAUGUGGAACUCCGGGUGUAGAGGUGAAAUUCGUAGAUAUUCGGAAGAACACCAGUGGCGAAGGCGACAUACUGGCUCAUUACUGACGCUGAGGCGCGAAAGCGUGGGGAGCAAACAGG
This 404-nucleotide ribosomal RNA is filed under the name bacterium. RNAcentral's name for it is "partial 16S ribosomal RNA". It matches the Rfam family "Bacterial small subunit ribosomal RNA", at positions 355 to 776 of the family's 1533-position model. The record is from RNAcentral.